GCCGUUGUGGUGUAGUGGCAGCACGCACACCUCGUCACUUGUGAAGCGUGGGUUCAAUUCCCACCAUCGGCU
Molecule: transfer RNA, 72 nt
Filed under: Acidimicrobiaceae bacterium
Lineage: Bacteria; Bacillati; Actinomycetota; Acidimicrobiia; Acidimicrobiales; Acidimicrobiaceae
Description: tRNA-Thr
Rfam family: tRNA
About the family: Transfer RNA (tRNA) molecules are approximately 80 nucleotides in length. Their secondary structure includes four short double-helical elements and three loops (D, anti-codon, and T loops).
Source: RNAcentral